Non-coding RNA from Methylobacterium sp. 4-46, 80 nucleotides. The record is from Rfam. NCBI's taxonomy places the organism in Bacteria, Pseudomonadati, Pseudomonadota, Alphaproteobacteria, Hyphomicrobiales, Methylobacteriaceae.
GGCCUGGGGGCGGCGAUCCCCUCACGAGGCUCCGGCCGAAGCAUCGCGUCCAGUCUGCUCUCUCGCAGGGACGCGCCAUG